This 3663-nucleotide long non-coding RNA is filed under the name Homo sapiens (human). RNAcentral describes it as "HSALNT0332440". Lineage: Eukaryota; Metazoa; Chordata; Mammalia; Primates; Hominidae. The record is from RNAcentral.
AGACCUAAAAGGCUGGGGCAGACCUCGGGAUGCAGCGGGGGUCGUGCGUAGCGGGUAGGAGCUGCUUGGGACCGCGUCCGGGCGCUCGUGGGGCUCUCGGCGCGGCAGGCGCUUCCCGGCCCUGUCUGGCCGCGGGCUCCGCCGCUUCGCAGCCGAGUCUGGGACUCGGGACUCGGCUGCCCGCUGCUGCGCGGCUCCUCCAUGACCCGGCGCCCUGCCCGGGACCGGCCCGCUCGCUGCACUGGUCCUCUCCUCGGCCUCCUCUUGAGCUUUCCUCGGACAGGGGCACCGUGCGCUCCCCGGCCACCGUCGCUCUGCCCUCGGCUCUCUGGGGCCGGGGAUUCCGGAUCGGGAGCCGGGAUGCGGGCCGGGGCGCGCACAGACGCUAGGCGGCCCAGCCCGGGCGCCGCUGGCACCGGCUCGCGGCUCCCGGCAAAAACCCGUCCGACUGGCUGGGCCACUCCCGCCUGACGCCCCCCCAGAUGACACGACUAGCUCUCCCGGCGUGCUGCCUUUGCCAGUCUACCCGCCAGGUUGUCAGAACAAGCGGCACCUCGCCUCCUGCGUGUCCCUACAGAGCCCCGGCACAAUCAGACUGCCCCAAGCCAGCUCCGAAACCCGAAAUCCCCGCUCCGGCGCUUGCCCACCACGGCCAAAGUUGUGGAAACAGCUUUGACUUUAUUCUCCUCUCUCUCUCAUCUUUUUUUGCCUCGCUUACACACGCAUUCACACUUGCCCCCACAGGAUCCCUCUAGGGGUGCAAGUUCAUCCCCCACCUAGCCACCCACCCCAUCCAGUCGGCACCUAGAGCCGCACGGAGGUUCGGACCCCGCCCGCCGAGGGCGCCCACACCUGGAGCUGGGUUUCGGCCUCUGCGAAAGUGAAAUGCCCAAGCCUCCGGCCAAAGCCCAGACCAGUACAGUAUGAAUUGUCCUAUGAGACUGAGGGGUUCGGCUUCAUUCCUACCUGCCCGCAAAGCUCGCCCCCAGCCUCGAAAACAAAGCGACUGGUCUGACGUGGGGUCCCUGCGCCCCUCCUCUAGCGCGACAGGACCCCCCCAGGGAAGAGCCAGUACCCGUGGGAUGUCACCCCGUCCCCAUCUACCGGGGUGGGGGGCCUGAAAGGAGAACGAUUUAAAAUAAUCUUCAGAAAGAAAAGGGAGGAGGGAGCGGGUGACACAUCGUUCACAUAAACCCAAUUUCUGGUUUCGAGUGAAGUCAAGAUCUCCGCCCCUGCGCCUGCACACACACCUCCUGCCUAACAUUCUCAGCUGCAAAUGCCAAAAAAGAAAAAAAAAAAAAACAGCAAAAGUUGGGACUGCCACCUAUUUAUUUAGGUAAUCUCCAGCCCUACACACCCCAACCCCUCUCUCGGACUCAUUGCUCAUUACAGUGUUGGUUGUAACCGUUCCCAGCGCCUCCUGCGGGUGGACAGGUCGCGCUAGGGUCUCCCUUGCUGCCUCAAGAAGGCGAGCUCAGGGGACUCUGCGUUUUAAAAUGGGUUCCAAAGCGGCGCGCUCUGUCGGCCCAGCGGGCUUGCGGCACCAGAGGUGGUCUGCAGCCGCGCAAGGAUUCCCACGGUCGUUCUGGGCUGGUGCAGAAGCUGGUGCUCCCGCACCCAGCGGCCAGCAGGCUCGGCGCAGCACAUCUCCCCACCCCACCCCCACACACCCCCGUGGGGUGCGUCGAUCCUGUAGCUCAGAGGGAGAAGCUACUUAGAACUUCGUGAAGCACAGAGGAUCUGGAGCGAGCCCCGCAGCUGGGAUCAGUGGUCUUAAGUUGAACCCGCUUACAGGAAGAUGCAGCCCAGCUCACAGCGAAGUGUGGGGGGGCCGUCUCUAAAGCCGAGAAGGGAACCGCUUUAGAAGUGGGGGUGGGGGGAAGAAAGAAUGAAUGAAUGAAUGAAUGAAUGAAUAGAAAGAAGAAGGAAUAUUAAAGAUCGGAGAGGAAGUUCAAGAGAGAAAAGAGUUUUCUCUUUCCUUUCUGUUCCUGGUGACUUGGGCCCUCAAUCUCGAUGAAGAUAACACGAGGAGUGCACAGCUUCUCCCCCGCGUUCUUCGGGCGAAUCCGAGGGACGGGCGCUGCGCUGGGGAAAGUUUGUCCCACCCGCGUUUCGCAGCUGGUUGCAAGGAGAGGAGGAGGAGAGGGAGGGUCAAGCUCGGAGCCUGUGACCGCACGGAUGAUCGAGCCGGCGUCGCGCUUACCUCGCAGUCCUCGUACUUGAUAUUAUCCGUCAAUUUCCAAAGCAUUUUCAUGGAUCGGCGUGAACGGAUAUGCCCCUCUCGGUCUCGCACCCAAGUGGAGCUACUCUCUGGCUCUUUACCAACAGCCUAAUCGCCUCAUUAGCAUAUCAACAAUAGUCCAAUUGCUCGCCAGUACCACAAUCUGCCGCCGGCCGCUCCGACACAGGUAUAAAGGCCUCUCUACGCCGCGAACUUGCUUCUAGAGCGCACUCCAGCCUGCGAACUGAUAAAACCUUCCUCGAGCUCCGCCGCGAGGCCCUGCCCCAACACCCCCUCUCUUACCCCAAUUCCGCCACAUUCCCCUAGAUGCCUUCUGCAAAGCCCGGCACUGCUCAAGGUCCAAGCGCCACGCCUGGGGCCCAGCUUCUAGCACUUCUCCCUUAACCCUGCUACCACGAUCCGAGCUGCCCUUUUGGCCCCGUGCAAUUUUAUUAGAAAUCAUUAUCCCUUUCGCAAUUAAACAUAACCACCAAACCAAGACCGGCGAAGUCACUCCAGGAUUUUUUCCCAACAAGGGAUCGCCUCCGCUCGAGGCAGCCACCCCCUCGGGCCGCAGCGCCUUGGGAGUUUUAUUGGCUUUGAGCUUUCCCCCAGGUUGGAGAUUCUGCCAAGCGGCUCCGGUGGCUCUGCUGGGGUUUGCAAUCCCUUAAUUGCAGCGUGUAAAAUAAAAGUUGUACCCUGAAGAGGUUACUUGACAGCUCCAGGGGUUAAACAAUUUUUCUCCUGUUUGUGUGAAGCUAGGGCCAACUGACAGUUCAAAUUGGUGUUCAGGCUAAGGUUUCCUGGGUGCAACGUGGACACGAAUACAGAACUCCUAUGGAACUGCACACCCGCUUCUGAAGUUGAGCCUAAAAACAGACGUGUGUGUGCCUGCAAGUCUAGAUACCGUCUCGUGCGUGCAUCAAAAUAAAUCACCGGGAACCGACUUUUAGCUGUGUUAAUCUGCUCUAGUUUUCCCAAGAUUCCCCUUUUUAAUUAAAGCAGGGAGAGUUCCUUCAUGAUUUGGUGAUGCUACUAACGCGGGCGUGCUCGCGAGGCAGAGCCCGGCUGCCGCGGAACCUGGAGGCCUGGGAGCCACCUACUCGUCCAGACUGGUCAGUCCGGGCUUUUGGACUCCUCACCGGGGCCUGCUGGGUCCUCUGGGGCUUUUAUCCCUUUCGGUUUUGGGAUUUUUUUUUAAGUAAGAAAAAAAAAAAAGAAAAGGACCUAAUGUGACACUAGGAAAUACAGAGUAAUUAAUUUUCCUGGCUGAGCUUCCUCGUUUGUCCUCCAAAAGAAAGUUACCUCUGUCUUUUCUCUCUGCUAUAUGUACAAACUCCUUAACUACACUAGGUCCCGCCUCAGAGUUGCUCUAGUAAGGACCUUUGAUUCAUCUGGGCUUGUUUCUCGAAAAUCUCCAGGCCUCCCAUAUUUCCACCGGG